CUAUGCUGCUGGUCCGUGGGCCAAACUUUGAAUUGCAAGGCAAACGCUCAAACUUUACAAAACCAAAACCAAAAUUGCAAUCCAGUGGUCUUACAAGCUAAUUAAGAGAAGAAAGCUGAGAGAGGAUUUUUUUGGUGACCAAGGGAUCAGCCAGGAACCAUCAGAACCCACAAAGAGAUGAUAAGGCCCGAGCCAACCGGAAGUCUCGUACCUGUCGUAGUCUUGGCAAAUCUCCCCCACAGCCACCAAGGCCUUCAGAAGAGAUCUGGCCUGGAGGCAGGGAGACUAACUAGGAGACACCUACAGUAAUUGAGGAGUGAAGAAUGGCCUUGAAUGAACAGUUCUUUAUGACCAAAGCAGUUAUCAAAGAUGAGGAAACCAAGGCACAGAGAGGUGAAGUAAGUUUCCCAAGACCACACAACACCAGGUAUCUUUAUAUGCCUUGGACAACUAAAGAUGAAUUGUUCAUUGUCUCAUGGUGACCUUCACAAGAGCCCCAUGAGAAAGAGAGUCCAUUUUUACAGAUGACGAUCCUAAAGUAUAAUAAAGAACUGAAGGCGGCUUAUUCCCAAGCACAGAGUGAGCCAGAUGGAAUUGGGCUGUGACCCUGGCUUUAUUUCUCCACCUCCAGGGCCCUUUCAUUGCACCACAUGGCUUCACGACAUACUCCUGCCAGGUGCCUUUCCGAUGGCAGGCUUUUUUUUUCUUUUUCUUUUUUUAUAA
Molecule: non-coding RNA, 723 nt
Organism: Equus caballus (horse)
Lineage: Eukaryota; Metazoa; Chordata; Mammalia; Perissodactyla; Equidae
Source: RefSeq, a predicted model, not a curated record